Molecule: small RNA, 3728 nt
Filed under: Pongo abelii (Sumatran orangutan)
Lineage: Eukaryota; Metazoa; Chordata; Mammalia; Primates; Hominidae
Description: processed transcript
Source: RNAcentral
GUUACUCCGGCUUCUUCAUAGAGGGCGGAGAAGGCUGGAGCGCGGUGGUGAUUUUGUGCCAGGGAUUCCCAGAGACGCGCUGAAAAGGCUGGCAGGGCUUAGGAAGCUGGGGGGUUAGGGACACACAUACAAGCCCCCACCCCCGGGAGGGGAAGGGGGCUGGAGGCGAGGCUUGAGGGCGGCGGAGGAAUGGUGUCUGCUCGGGGGGAAGGGGCGAGCCCUGCCUGUUGGUGUUGAGGGGCUGCGGGCAGUGGAGGCUCCGCGGGUCGAAAGCAGCUCCAUGCCCAUCGGUGGGUGGAACGUGUAAAGGUCGGAACGCCGAGGUCGAGUCUGGUGUCCCCUCGGAAUCCUUAACGUGGUCUCUGUCUAACGUAUUUCAUUUAGCCCCCGUUGGGAUUAAUUCAUUGGGAGCAGUUUCGCUGGUCUGGAUCCUCCAGGAGCUGGACAACCUUGACGGGCUUUUUGUCUUGGGUUCCAGCCCCCUUUCCCUUCCUCCUCUUCCAGAUGCCUUUUCUCUGCCCCUCCUCGCCCGGUACAGACAUUUCCAGCGCAGGCUGCUUCUCUUGGUGUCCGUCGUCGAAGCCACUUCUUGGGAUUUCGGCUCGUUUCCCUCUGGGGUGUUUUUUGAGGAGGGAGAGUGCCCCCCUCCUCCACGAUGGGAUUUUCCUCCCUUGCCGAAAUGGACUUUCAUUGAUUUCUACUUACUUCUACUUUUAGUGACCAAUUCCCUAGGCGUAUUUUUGUGGUAGUUCCUUUUUUCAAAUACAUACUCUGUAAAAUGGAGAACGAAAUUUUUACUCCCCUUCUGGAGCAGUUCAUGACCAGCCCCUUGGUCACUUGGGUUAAAACGUUUGGACCUCUGGCUGCAGGAAAUGGGACCAACCUUGAUGAAUAUGUGGCUUUGGUGGAUGGGGUAUUCUUGAACCAGGUCAUGCUCCAAAUGACAGUCUCACUCUGUUGCCCAGGCUACUGGAGUGCAGUGGCCCGAUCUUGGCUCACUGCAACCUCCACCUCCCGGAUUCAAGCAAUUCUCCUGCCUCAGCAUCCUGAGUCGCUGGGACUACAGCACGUGCCACCACACCUGGCUAAUUUUUUGUAUUUUUAGUAGAGACCAUAUUAGUAUCACCGUAUUAGCCAGGAUGGUCUUGAUCUUCUGACCUCGUGAUCCACCCGCCUCAGCCUCACAAAGUGCUGGGAUUAUAGGCGUGAGCCGCCGCACCUGGCCUGUAUCUUUUUUUUUUUUAACUUAAGUAUUAAGUAUAGCGGCAGCCCCUAACCUUUUUGGUAGUAGGGAUCAUUUUCAUGGAGGACAGUUUUUUCCACGGACCAGGGCGGUUGGGAGGGGGGCAUUAGAUUCUCAUAAGGAGUGGGCAACUUAGAUCCCUCGUAUGGCAGUUCACAAUAGGGUUCGUGAGCUCCUAAGAAAAUCUAAUGCUGCCACCAGUCUGACAGGAGGCGGAGCUCAGGUGGUAAUGCUCACCUCCCCACCGCUCACCUGCCGUGCAGACUGGUUCCUAACAGGCCACGGACCUGUACUAGUCCUCGGCCCAGGGGUUGGGGACCCUGAAGCAUAGUACUGAAUGUGUAUACUGACUAAGACAAACCUGUAGUUAAUAGUGAAUGAUCCCAAGCAGGUAUUUGAAAACAAAUCUCUGGUUAUUAGGUUGCUUUUUUUUUUUCUUUUCUUUCAUUAAUCUGUGUGGGUUUCAUGUUUCUUUUGAGAGAGAGAGAGUGUGCUGGGAGAGUGAGUUGUGUGGGCGUGUGAACUGGAAUAAAUUAGGGAGCCCUGAUGUCUAGAAGUUAGGUUUGGCCUUUAAAGGUAUGGUUAGUCAGGGAAACCUAUCUGUGGAGGAGGUUAGAUUUGAUUUAAACCUUGAAAGGUGACUGGACUUGGAUAGCUAUCCGUGAGGAGAGGAGGGUAUUUUAGGCCAAGGAAGCAUUUUAGGGGAAAAGCAUACUGCAUGUAUGAUUUGGGAAAUGGUGAGGAGACUAGCCUUAGUGGAGGAACCAAGUUGAGGAAUAGUACAAUACAGUAUUUUAAAAUCUUAGGUCAUUUAUUCCUUUGCCUUUUAAAAACUAUUUUGCGGCUGGGCGCAGUGGCUCAUGCCUGUAAUCCCAGAACUUUGGGAGGCUGAGGCGGGCGGAUUACCUGCGGCCAGUUUGAGACCAGACUUGCCAACAUGGUGAAACCCCAUCUCUACUAAAAAUACAAAAAUUAGCUGGGCGUGGUGGCACAUGCCUGUAACCCCAGCUACUCGGGGGAGGCUGAGGCAGGAGAAUUGCUUGAGCCCGGGAGGCAGAGGUUGCAGUGAGCCGAGAUCAUGCCACUGCACUCCAGCCUGGCCGACAGAGUGAAACUGUGUCUCGAAAAAACAACUAUUUUGCUAAAUUGGAGGUCCCCAAAACAGUUUCUUUCUCAUGGACCAUUUGUAGACCAUGGCUGAAAGUUUUGUUAACUUGUCUAUUAAUAAUUCCUUACCUUUCUAUAUGUGUACCUUUCCUCUAACUUGGUUCAUUGCAUCUCAAAUGUAUGUGUGGCUAUUUUUUGUCUUCUAUUUUACUUUUUAUUAUAUUUCUAAUUUAAUUUUUGUUUGUCUUAGUGCUUUUGUAAUAGGUAUCUAUUAUUUUCCCUUUAAUUGGUGGGUUUAUAAUGGAGUUAGCAUUGAGCCUUUUGGAGCACUUUUCUGGUACACUGAAAAAGACAAAUUAAACCAAUAUUGUGGUAAUCUUAUUCUACUCUCACUAAUAGAAAUUCAUAUACUUAGAGUUGUCCUGUAUGGGGACUUUUUAAAAAAUUAGAGAAAUUGAUGAUUGGAAAAAAGAUUUUCUUACCAAAUUUAAAAACUGCUUACUUAAGGUAAGUUUCUAUGACUAAAUUUAAUUCAUUAAUUAGAAGAGAUUGUUCUUUGGGAUUUUUUUCUCAUUUUAAAGGGCUUUCAUCUCAAAAAUGAAAGUGAUACUUGUCACCCAUAAUUAAUCAAGUGAACUAUUUAAAUUACCUUAGGAGGGGAGUACAGAUUAAGAAGCCUUACUAUACUGAAUUGAUAGUAUGGGAGUGAAAGCCGUAGUAGGUAAGUCUGUCACUGGUCAAGGGAAAUACCUGACUGUAUGUCAGCUCACUUUGGAAUUUCUUGAGUCUCUAGGCCUAAGUAGAUCUGGAGCAAUUACUACUCUAGAAUACUGAUUAAAACAAAUUAAAACCAACUUCUGUGACCCAAUCUUAAGGCUUAGUGACAAUGGGUAAAAUUUUCCAUCACAGAUCAGUGCUGUCCAUUGAAUCUAUUAAACAAUCUUCUUUUGUUUCCGUUACUGGUCAUGAGGUUGGCAACCAUGUAAGUGAAUGUUCUAGAUUAGCAUAAUAUUAAGUCCCCAGGUCCCUAUACCAAGAACAGGAAUUGAUUUGCCUAAUACAGUAGUUCUCAAAUGAGAUCAGACCCCUGCUAGCACAGAGAUUCCUUCAAGGUUGUCUGUCAGGUCAGAAUUCUUUUCAUAAUGAUACUAAGAUGUCCUUUGCCUUUUUUUGCCUGUGUUGCUAAAGCACUGAUGAUGCAAAAGCAAAGGUAAGUAAAACUGCUGACAUUUUAGUAUGAAUCAAGGAAUUGUACCAAAUUGUAUGGGCAAUCAUUGUAUUCUUCUCAUUAUACACUUGUAAGAUAUAUAUAAAUAAACCCAGUUUCAAUUAAAAAUGUCCUUGAUGAAGCAAUAAAAGUUAUUUUGUUGGAUCUUGA